RNAcentral lists this ribosomal RNA (301 nucleotides) under uncultured bacterium. Its description in RNAcentral is "partial 16S ribosomal RNA". It matches the Rfam family "Bacterial small subunit ribosomal RNA", at positions 509 to 807 of the family's 1533-position model. The record is from RNAcentral.
CAGUAGCCGCGGUAAAACGUAGGGUGCAAGCGUUAAUCGGAAUUACUGGGCGUAAAGCGUGCGCAGGCGGUUUGUUAAGACAGAUGUGAAAUCCCCGGGCUCAACCUGAGAACUGCAUUUGUGACUGGCAAGCUAGAGUAUGGCAGAGGGGGGUGGAAUUCCGCGUGUAGCAGUGAAAUGCGUAGAUAUGCGGAGGAACACCGAUGGCGAAGGCAGCCCCCUGGGCCAAUACUGACGCUCAUGCACGAAAGCGUGGGGAGCAAACAGGAUUAGAUACCCGGGUAGUCCCUGUCUCUUAUAC